This 120-nucleotide ribosomal RNA is filed under the name Bifidobacterium bifidum. RNAcentral also lists the same sequence under 1 other name. Lineage: Bacteria; Bacillati; Actinomycetota; Actinomycetes; Bifidobacteriales; Bifidobacteriaceae. The record is from RNAcentral.
UUUGCGGCGGCCAUGGCCCAGGAGAGACGCCCGGUCCCAUUCCGAACCCGGAAGCUAAGACCUGGCACGGCGAUGGUACUGCACCCGACAGGGUGUGGGAGAGUAGCACGCCGCCGCACC